UUGGUUUGGGUUCAAGCCCCGUCUCCUUAA
This 30-nucleotide transfer RNA is filed under the name Pseudechinus magellanicus. RNAcentral's name for it is "partial tRNA-Gln". The record is from RNAcentral. Lineage: Eukaryota; Metazoa; Echinodermata; Echinoidea; Temnopleuroida; Temnopleuridae.